RNAcentral lists this ribosomal RNA (542 nucleotides) under uncultured Glomeromycotina. RNAcentral describes it as "SSU rRNA". It matches the Rfam family "Eukaryotic small subunit ribosomal RNA", at positions 552 to 1096 of the family's 1831-position model. Lineage: Eukaryota; Fungi; Glomeromycota. The record is from RNAcentral.
AGGGCAAGUCUGGUGCCAGCAGCCGCGGUAAUUCCAGCUCCAAUAGCGUAUAUUAAAGUUGUUGCAGUUAAAAAGCUCGUAGUUGAAUUUCGGGAUCAAUCUAUCGGUCGUGCAAUAGUACGUACUGAUUUUAUUGAUUCCUCCCUUCUGAUGAACUAUGAUGUCAUUAAUUUGGUGUCAUAGGGAAUCAGGACUGUUACUUUGAAAAAAUUAGAGUGUUUAGAGCAGGCUCACGCUUGAAUACAUUAGCAUGGAAUAACGAAAUAGGACGUUUGAUUCUAUUUUGUUGGUUUCUAGGAUCGACGUAAUGAUUAAUAGGGAUAGUUGGGGGCAUUAGUAUUCAAUUGUCAGAGGUGAAAUUCUUGGAUUUAUUGAAGACUAACUACUGCGAAAGCAUUUGCCAAGGAUGUUUUCAUUAAUCAAGAACGAAAGUUAGGGGAUCGAAGACGAUCAGAUACCGUCGUAGUCUUAACCAUAAACUAUGCCGACUAGGGAUCGGAUGAUGUUAAUUUUUUAAUGACUCAUUCGGCGCCUUACGGGAA